This 73-nucleotide transfer RNA is filed under the name Microthamnion kuetzingianum. RNAcentral's name for it is "tRNA-Lys". It matches the Rfam family "tRNA". Rfam says of the family: Transfer RNA (tRNA) molecules are approximately 80 nucleotides in length. Their secondary structure includes four short double-helical elements and three loops (D, anti-codon, and T loops). Further hydrogen bonds mediate the characteristic L-shaped molecular structure. tRNAs have two regions of fundamental functional importance: the anti-codon, which is responsible for specific mRNA codon recognition, and the 3' end, to which the tRNAs corresponding amino acid is attached (by aminoacyl-tRNA synthetases). tRNAs cope with the degeneracy of the genetic code in two manners: having more than one tRNA (with a specific anti-codon) for a particular amino acid; and 'wobble' base-pairing, i.e. permitting non-standard base-pairing at the 3rd anti-codon position. The record is from RNAcentral. RNAcentral also lists the same sequence under 1 other name. Lineage: Eukaryota; Viridiplantae; Chlorophyta; Trebouxiophyceae; Microthamniales; Microthamniaceae.
GGGUUGCUAACUCAAUGGUUAGAGUUCUCAGCUUUUAACUGAGCAGUUUCGGGUUCGAGUCCCGGGCAACCCA